ACAGCACCAAUGGCCACAAGCCAGGCUGGUUCCCAAGUCUGAGUGGAAACAGCAAAGGGGAGCAACAGGCCUUCUGGGAACAGAUUUGCCCCAAGGACUGAACAGGAACUCUCAGAAGGGACCUACGUGACAGGAACCUGCCGCGAGGAGAAAGGACUGGGUACAGAACCAUGCAGUGUGAGGACCCUGGACAGAAAAAGCCCAGGCGUAAGAGGAGACAGAGCCAGGAAAGCUCCAGUCCAUUUGUUUUGCCUGCUGCCUGUUAUUUCAUGGUACAGUUUCAUCUAUCUGUUCUUCUUGUUGUUAGCAGCUGGAAUGCCUCACUCAACUUAAGAGACCAGGACGGCUUCUCUACGUAUCCUGACCACCAAAAGUCGUGGGCAGAGCUGGAACCAUCACUCGUAAUUUCAGAAACAGAAGAGCGCCUGGUGAAUAAAGCCCAAUGCCCAGUUUUUAUCCUGUGCUGCUGGCUCCAGGACCUAGGAACCAAUGCAUUCUAAAAUUGUAGCAUAGCUUCGGCGCCUGCGAAGUAUCCUCUGAAGUUGUACACUGUGUUGUAGCCUGUGGUCUGACUCUGA
This is a long non-coding RNA of Microtus ochrogaster (prairie vole), 578 nucleotides long. RefSeq lists it as uncharacterized. NCBI's taxonomy places the organism in Eukaryota, Metazoa, Chordata, Mammalia, Rodentia, Cricetidae. The transcript is spliced from 4 exons. The record is from RefSeq and is a predicted model, not a curated record.